CCUACGGGUGGCAGCAGUGGGGAAUAUUGCACAAUGGGGUAAACCCUGAUGCAGCGACGCCGCGUGAGCGAUGAAGUAUUUCGGUAUGUAAAGCUCUAUCAGCAGGGAAGAAGAUGACGGUACCUGACUAAGAAGCCCCGGCUAACGCCGUGCCAGCAGCCGCGGUAAUACGCAGGGGGCAAGGGGUGUCCGGAUGUACUGGGUGGAAAGGGAGCGUAGACGGCGAUGCAAGCCAGAUGUGAAAGCCCGGGGCUCAACCCCGGGACUGCAUUUGGAACUGGGUGGCUGGAGUGUCGGAGAGGCAGGCGGAAUUCCUAGUGUAGCGGUGAAAUGCGUAGAUAUUAGGAGGAACACCAGUGGCGAAGGCGGCCUGCUGGACGAUGACUGACGUUGAGGCUCGAAAGCGUGGGGAGCAAACAGGAUUAGAUACCCGAGUAGUC
This 440-nucleotide ribosomal RNA is filed under the name uncultured bacterium. RNAcentral describes it as "partial 16S ribosomal RNA". It matches the Rfam family "Bacterial small subunit ribosomal RNA", at positions 338 to 795 of the family's 1533-position model. The record is from RNAcentral.